GUAGGGAAUAUUGCGCAAUGGGGGAAACCCUGACGCAGCGACGCCGCGUGAGUGAUGAAGGCCUUCGGGUCGUAAAGCUCUGUUGCAAGGGAAUAAAAAAAUGAAGGUACCCUGUGAGGAAGGAUCGGCUAACUUCGUGCCAGCAGCCGCGGUAAGACGAGGGAUCCUAGCGUUGCUCGGAAUCAUUGGGCGUAAAGAGGGCGUAGGUGGCUUGGUAAGUCAGGUGUGAAAGCCCAGGGCUCAACCCUGGAAGUGCAUUUGAUACUGCUGAGCUUGAGUGUCGGAGAGGUUACCGGAAUACCUGGUGUAGUGGUGAAAUACGUAGAUAUCAGGUGGAACACCGGAGGCGAAGGCGGGUAACUGGACGAACACUGACACUGAGGCCCGAAAGCGUGGGGAUCAAACAGGAUUAGAUACCCUGGUAGUCC
This 428-nucleotide ribosomal RNA is filed under the name uncultured bacterium. RNAcentral describes it as "partial 16S ribosomal RNA". It matches the Rfam family "Bacterial small subunit ribosomal RNA", at positions 354 to 796 of the family's 1533-position model. The record is from RNAcentral.